This 928-nucleotide ribosomal RNA is filed under the name uncultured Porphyromonadaceae bacterium. RNAcentral's name for it is "bacterial SSU rRNA". It matches the Rfam family "Bacterial small subunit ribosomal RNA", at positions 8 to 920 of the family's 1533-position model. Lineage: Bacteria; Pseudomonadati; Bacteroidota; Bacteroidia; Bacteroidales; Porphyromonadaceae. The record is from RNAcentral.
AGAGUUUGAUCCUGGCUCAGGAUGAACGCUAGCGGCAGGCUUAACACAUGCAAGUCGAGGGGCAGCGGAGCGGAGUGCUUGCACUCUGCUGCCGGCGACCGGCGCACGGGUGAGUAACACGUAUGCAACCUGCCCCGGAGCGGGGGAUAACCCGGCGAAAGCCGGACUAAUACCGCGUAUAUAUCCAGGAGGCAUCUUCUGGAUAGGAAAGGACUUCGGUCCGCUCCGGGAUGGGCAUGCGGCGCAUUAGGCAGACGGCGGGGUAACGGCCCACCGUACCGACGAUGCGUAGGGGUUCUGAGAGGAAGGCCCCCCACACUGGUACUGAGACACGGACCAGACUCCUACGGGAGGCAGCAGUGAGGAAUAUUGGUCAAUGGGCGAGAGCCUGAACCAGCCAAGCCGCGUGAGGGAAGAAGGCGCUCAGCGUCGUAAACCUCUUUAGCCGGGGGACAAAACCUCCUCGCGAAGGAGGCUUGAGAGUACCCGGAGAAUAAGCAUCGGCUAACUCCGUGCCAGCAGCCGCGGUAAUACGGAGGAUGCGAGCGUUAUCCGGAUUUAUUGGGUUUAAAGGGUGCGCAGGCGGACAUUCAAGUCUGCGGUCAAAUUCCGGGGCUCAACCCCGGCCAGCCGUGGAAACUGAAUGACUUGAGUGGGCGAGAGGUAUGCGGAAUGCGCGGUGUAGCGGUGAAAUGCUUAGAGAUCGCGCAGAACUCCGAUUGCGAAGGCAGCAUACCGGCGCCUUACUGACGCUCAGGCACGAAAGCGUGGGGAUCGAACAGGAUUAGAUACCCUGGUAGUCCACGCAGUAAACGAUGAAUGCUGGUUGUUCGGGCCGACUGAGGCCUGAGUAACGUAGUGAAAACGUUAAGCAUUCCACCUGGGGAGUACGCCGGCAACGGUGAAACUCAAAGGAAUUGACGGGGGC